Molecule: long non-coding RNA, 862 nt
Organism: Spodoptera frugiperda (fall armyworm)
Lineage: Eukaryota; Metazoa; Arthropoda; Insecta; Lepidoptera; Noctuidae
Exons: 2
Source: RefSeq, a predicted model, not a curated record
UUUAGAUUAAUUAAUACAAGUAGGGUUAUCAAUUUUUCUAAUAUAUGGAGAUAAGACGCAGAAGUAAUCGCUCUACUUGUUAUUUGUUUAAGGAAAAUAAUAAUCACAUUAACACUUUUCCAAGAACCACCAAAAACAUUAUUGACCUUUGCUUUUGUCUCUGGGGGAAGCACUCGAAUAUGGCAAUAAAAUAAACCGCAAUGAAUAAAACAAUUUACAUAAUGAUUAUGUUAAUUAUAUACGCACGUAAGCUUUUUGACCAGACAUUCUGAUUCAUGACGAUCGAUGUAAAUAUUGCGCAGCGAAAUGAGACAAAACGUAAACACCAGUGUUUGAGGAAAAGCAUCUUUUUUAUUUACACAUAAUUAUCCUGUUCAGGUAGGUGCGUAAUAAAUAAGAAAUAACCCGCUUAUGACACAUACACAGUAUAAAUAAGGUGUGAGGCUGUGGAAGCUCCACAGUUGACACAUCUUCGUCUCGCUGCAAUCGUCUCUCGACAUCAAGUACUCCAGUACAAUGGCUGCCCUCAAGACCACCCUCGUGCUGCUCCUCAUUGCCUUCGCGAUGUUGGCCUCCGUCGGCGCCGUCCGUGUGGGCCCCUGCGACCAGGUCUGCUCCCGCAUCGACGCUGAGAAGGACGAGUGCUGCAGGGCUCACGGGUACAGCGGGUACAACAGCUGCCGAGGCGGUAGAAUGGACUGUUACUGAUGAUGACAACUUUGCCCUACCGUAUUCAUGACUUGAACAACUCUGCUGCCUUCUAAAACUUCGGUAUUUUUAUGAUAUCGAUAUGUUUGUCGAUAUAGAAUCUACGUAAAUAAUGUAAUUAUAAUUAUUAAAUAUACAUAUUUAGUUUAAAUAA